UUAUUGCACUAUUCUUUGAAC
Non-coding RNA from Caenorhabditis elegans, 21 nucleotides. Lineage: Eukaryota; Metazoa; Nematoda; Chromadorea; Rhabditida; Rhabditidae. The record is from Ensembl.